GGGAGGAUGGCCGAGUGGUUUAAGGCGCUGUGUUUAGGUCUCUUCUUGAACCGCAGUGGGAGUGAGUCCUCUCAACAUUACAUCAAGCAAAAAAUGAUCGCUAACCCCUUACAGAACCUCGUGGGUUCGAAUCCCACUCCUCUCA
Exophiala xenobiotica is the source of this 145-nucleotide transfer RNA. It matches the Rfam family "tRNA". From Rfam's summary of the family: Transfer RNA (tRNA) molecules are approximately 80 nucleotides in length. Their secondary structure includes four short double-helical elements and three loops (D, anti-codon, and T loops). NCBI's taxonomy places the organism in Eukaryota, Fungi, Ascomycota, Eurotiomycetes, Chaetothyriales, Herpotrichiellaceae. The record is from Rfam.